AAGGUUUUAAGUUAAUUAAAACUAAUAGCCUUCAAAGCUAUAAAUAUAAGAAAAUCUUUUAAACCUUA
RNAcentral lists this transfer RNA (68 nucleotides) under Diplonevra florescens. RNAcentral describes it as "tRNA-Trp". It matches the Rfam family "tRNA". Rfam says of the family: Transfer RNA (tRNA) molecules are approximately 80 nucleotides in length. Their secondary structure includes four short double-helical elements and three loops (D, anti-codon, and T loops). The record is from RNAcentral. Lineage: Eukaryota; Metazoa; Arthropoda; Insecta; Diptera; Phoridae.